UGACCUGGUAGCUCAGUUGGUAGAGCAUCUCCCUUUUAAGGAGAGGGUCCUGGGUUCGAGCCCCAGCCAGGUCACAA
This 77-nucleotide transfer RNA is filed under the name Maribacter dokdonensis DSW-8. Its description in RNAcentral is "tRNA-Lys". It matches the Rfam family "tRNA". Rfam says of the family: Transfer RNA (tRNA) molecules are approximately 80 nucleotides in length. Lineage: Bacteria; Pseudomonadati; Bacteroidota; Flavobacteriia; Flavobacteriales; Flavobacteriaceae. The record is from RNAcentral.